RNAcentral lists this ribosomal RNA (247 nucleotides) under uncultured crenarchaeote. RNAcentral's name for it is "partial 16S ribosomal RNA". It matches the Rfam family "Archaeal small subunit ribosomal RNA", at positions 478 to 725 of the family's 1478-position model. The record is from RNAcentral. Lineage: Archaea; Thermoproteati; Thermoproteota.
AGCUCUCCGAGUGGUGUGGAUGUUUAUUGGGCCUAAAGCAUCCGUAGCCGGCUAAGUUAGUCCCUUGUUAAAUCCACCGAAUUAAUCGUUGGAUUGCGGGGGAUACUGCUUGGCUAGGGGACGAGAGAGGCAGACGGUAUUUUUGGGGUAGGGGUGAAAUCCUAUAAUCCCAGGAAGACCACCAGUGGCGAAGGCUGUCUGCUAGAACGCGCCCGACGGUGAGGGAUGAAAGCUGGGGGAGCGAACC